Molecule: ribosomal RNA, 266 nt
Filed under: Bacillus amyloliquefaciens
Lineage: Bacteria; Bacillati; Bacillota; Bacilli; Caryophanales; Bacillaceae
Description: partial 16S ribosomal RNA
Rfam family: Bacterial small subunit ribosomal RNA
Source: RNAcentral
UUAUCGGAGAGUUUGAUCCUGGCUCAGGACGAACGCUGGCGGCGUGCCUAAUACAUGCAAGUCGAGCGGACAGAUGGGAGCUUGCUCCCUGAUGUUAGCGGCGGACGGGUGAGUAACACGUGGGUAACCUGCCUGUAAGACUGGGAUAACUCCGGGAAACCGGGGCUAAUACCGGAUGCUUGUUUGAACCGCAUGGUUCAAACAUAAAAGGUGGCUUCGGCUACCACUUACAGAUGGACCCGCGGCGCAUUAGCUAGUUGGUGAGG